RNAcentral lists this ribosomal RNA (256 nucleotides) under uncultured bacterium. RNAcentral describes it as "partial 16S ribosomal RNA". It matches the Rfam family "Bacterial small subunit ribosomal RNA", at positions 521 to 776 of the family's 1533-position model. The record is from RNAcentral.
UAAUACGAAGGGGGCUAGCGUUGUUCGGAAUUACUGGGCGUAAAGCGCACGUAGGCGGGUUUGUAAGUAGGGGGUGAAAUCCCAGGGCUCAACCCUGGAACUGCCUUCUAGACUGCAAGCCUGGAGGUCAGGAGAGGCGAGUGGAAUACCGAGUGUAGAGGUGAAAUUCGUAGAUAUUCGGUGGAACACCAGUGGCGAAGGCGACUCGCUGGACUGAUACUGACGCUGAGGUGCGAAAGCGUGGGGAGCAAACAGG